This 522-nucleotide ribosomal RNA is filed under the name uncultured Flexibacteraceae bacterium. RNAcentral describes it as "bacterial SSU rRNA". It matches the Rfam family "Bacterial small subunit ribosomal RNA", at positions 8 to 526 of the family's 1533-position model. The record is from RNAcentral. Lineage: Bacteria; Pseudomonadati; Bacteroidota; Cytophagia; Cytophagales; Cytophagaceae.
AGAGUUUGAUCCUGGCUCAGGAUGAACGCUAGCGGCAGGCCUAAUACAUGCAAGUCGGGCGGCAAGUUGAGGAGCAAUCCGAGACCUAGAGCGGCGGACGGGUGCGUAACGCGUAUGCAACCUGCCCCUUACCGGGGGAUAGCCCGGGGAAACCCGGAUUAAUACCCCAUAGUAUUCAGACACCGCAUGGUGAUUGUAUUAAAGAUUCAUCGGUAGGGGAUGGGCAUGCGUAGGAUUAGUUAGUUGGCGGGGUAACGGCCCACCAAGACUUUGAUCCUUAGGGGUUCUGAGAGGAAGGUCCCCCACACUGGCACUGAGAUACGGGCCAGACUCCUACGGGAGGCAGCAGUAGGGAAUAUUGGGCAAUGGGCGGGAGCCUGACCCAGCCAUGCCGCGUGCAGGAAGAAGGCGUUAUGCGUUGUAAACUGCUUUUAUACGGGAAGAAAAGGCCCAUGCGUGGGACAUUGCCGGUACCGUGUGAAUAAGCACCGGCUAACUCCGUGCCAGCAGCCGCGGUAAUAC